Molecule: ribosomal RNA, 509 nt
Filed under: uncultured bacterium
Lineage: Bacteria
Description: bacterial SSU rRNA
Rfam family: Bacterial small subunit ribosomal RNA
Source: RNAcentral
AGAGUUUGAUCAUGGCUCAGGAUGAACGCUGGCGGCGUGCUUAACACAUGCAAGUCGAACGGAGUUUUUAACGGAAGUUUCGGAUGGAAGUUUAAGAACUUAGUGGCGGACGGGUGAGUAACGCGUGGGUAACCUGCCUCAUACAGGGGGAUAACAGUUAGAAAUGACUGCUAACACCGCAUAAUAUAGUGAAACCGCAUGAUUUUGCUAUCAAAUAUUUAUAGGUAUGAGAUGGGCCCGCGUCUGAUUAGCUAGUUGGUGGGGUAAAAGCCUACCAAGGCGACGAUCAGUAGCCGGCUUGAGAGAGUGACCGGCCACAUUGGGACUGAGACACGGCCCAAACUCCUACGGGAGGCAGCAGUGGGGAAUAUUGGACAAUGGGGGAAACCCUGAUCCAGCGAACCGCCGCGUGAGUGAAGAAGUAUUUCGGUAUGUAAAGCUCUAUCAGCAGGGAAGAUGAUGACAGUACCUGACUAAGAAGCCCCGGCUAACUACGUGCCAGCCGCCGC